AACGAACGCUGGCGGCGUGGAUAAGACAUGCAAGUCGAACGGAAAUAUUGAAUAGCUUGCUAAUUGGUAUUUUAGUGGCGGACGGGUUAGUAACACGUGAGAAACUUACCCUCAAGACAGGAAUAGCCCAUGGAAACGUGGAUUAAUGCCUGAUGGUCUCUACGGAGUAAAGGAUGCCUUCGGGUAUCGCUUGAGGAUAGGCUCGCGUCCUAUCAGCUAGUUGGUGAGGUAAAGGCUCACCAAGGCGACGACGGGUAGCUGGUCUGAGAGGACGAUCAGCAACACUGGAACUGAGACACGGUCCAGACACCUACGGGUGGCAGCAGUCGAGAAUCAUUCACAAUGGGGGCAACCCUGAUGGUGCAACGCCGCGUGGAGGAUGACGGUCCUAGGAUUGUAAACUCCUGUCAUUGGGGAGUAAGACUUGGUUGUUAAUAGCCUCCAAGUUUGAUAGUACCCAAAGAGGAAGGGACGGCUAACUUCGUGCCAGCAGCCGCGGUAAUACGAAGGUCCCAAGCGUUGUUCGGAAUCACUGGGCGUAAAGCGUGUGCAGGCUGCGCGGAAAGUCAAAUGUGAAAGCCCGGGGCUUAACCCCGGAACUGCAUUCGAUACUCCCGUGCUAGAGUAAUGGAGAGGUAAGUGGAAUUCCCGGUGUAGCAGUGAAAUGCGUAGAUAUCGGGAGGAACAUCAAUGGCGAAGGCAACUUACUGGACAUUUACUGACGCUCAGACACGAAGGCUAGGGGAGCGAAAGGGAUUAGAUACCCCUGUAGUCCUAGCAGUAAACGGUGCUCGCUUGGUGUGGGAGGAUUCGACCCCUUCUGUGCCGGAGCUAACGCGUUAAGCGAGCCGCCUGGGAAGUACGGUCGCAAGACUAAAACUCAAAGAAAUUGACGGGGACCCGCACAAGCGGUGGAGUAUGUGGCUUAAUUCGAUGCAACGCGAAGAACCUUACCUAGGCUUGACAUGCUUGUCGUACCUUCCCGAAAAGGAAGGGUCACUUCGGGUGGACAAUGCACAGGUGCUGCAUGGCCGUCGUCAGCUCGUGUCGUGAGAUGUUUGGUUAAGUCCAGCAACGAGCGCAACCCCUGUGAAUAGUUGCCAGCGAGUAAUGUCGGGGACUCUAUUCAGACUGCCCAGAUCAACUGGGAGGAAGGUGGGGACGACGUCAGGUCAGUAUGGCCCUUACGCCUAGGGCUGCACACGUACUACAAUGCCCAGCACAAUGAGAACCGAUACCGCGAGGAGGAGGCAAUCUACAAAACUGGGCCCAGUUCGGAUUGGAGGCUGCAACUCGCCUCCAUGAAGUUGGAAUCGCUAGUAAUGCCGUAUCAGCUACGACGGCGUGAAUACGUUCCCGGGUCU
This 1364-nucleotide ribosomal RNA is filed under the name uncultured bacterium. RNAcentral describes it as "bacterial SSU rRNA". It matches the Rfam family "Bacterial small subunit ribosomal RNA", at positions 28 to 1381 of the family's 1533-position model. The record is from RNAcentral.